GGUGGUUCCGUGGUAGAACUUUCGCUUUCCAUGUGAGAGACCUGGGUUCAAUUUCCAGCC
This 60-nucleotide transfer RNA is filed under the name Loxodonta africana (African savanna elephant). It matches the Rfam family "tRNA", at positions 6 to 65 of the family's 71-position model. From Rfam's summary of the family: Transfer RNA (tRNA) molecules are approximately 80 nucleotides in length. Their secondary structure includes four short double-helical elements and three loops (D, anti-codon, and T loops). Lineage: Eukaryota; Metazoa; Chordata; Mammalia; Proboscidea; Elephantidae. The record is from Rfam by way of RNAcentral.